UGGCAAUGCUGUCGACAAAAACAGGCGAACUACUUCUUCUAACGAUUAUAUAUGAUGGGAGAAUUGUCCAAAAGCUCGACCUUUCAAAAUCAAGAGCUUCAGUACUUACAUCGGGAAUUACAACAAUUGGAGACUCAUUAUUCUUUUUGGGCAGUCGUCUUGGUGAUAGUUUGCUCGUGCAAUUUUCUAGUGGUCUUGGAGGGUCAAAUUUGCCUCCUGGGGUGCAGGAAGAGGUUGGAGAUAUUGAAAGUGAUGCUCCUUCUGCAAAGAGGCUAAGAAUGUCAUCCUCGGACGCAUUGCAAGACAUGAUUAAUGGUGAAGAGCUUUCCUUGUAUGGUACAGCUCCAAAUAAUGCACAAUCAGCACAGAAGACAUUCUCAUUUGCAGUGAGGGAUUCCCUGAUCAAUGUUGGCCCUCUAAAAGACUUUUCGUAUGGUAUGAGAAUUAAUGCUGACCUGAAUGCUACUGGAAUUGCCAAGCAAAGUAAUUAUGAACUGGUAUGCUGUUCAGGUCAUGGAAAGAAUGGUUCUCUGAGUGUGCUUCAGCAAUCAAUCCGCCCAGAAACGAUCACCCAAGAAGCUUUACCAGGUUGCAAGGGAAUUUGGACUGUCUACCACAAGAAUACACGUAUCCAUCUCAGCGAAUCCUCAAGGAUGGCAGAUGAAGAAGAUGAAUAUCAUGCAUAUUUGAUUAUUAGUUUGGAGGCUCGUACAAUGGUUCUGCAGACUGCAAAUAAUUUGGAGGAGGUAACAGAGAAUGUCGAUUACUAUGUUCAAGGAACUACUCUUGCUGCUGGAAAUCUUUUUGGGAGACGCCGAGUUAUCCAAGUGUUUGCUCAUGGUGCUCGAAUUCUUGAUGGUGCAUUUAUGACUCAAGAAUUGAGUUUUAAGGCUUCAAAUGUGGAAUCUGGCUCGAGUUCAGAUACUUCUAUUGUAGCUUCUGUUUCUAUAGCGGAUCCUUAUGUUCUACUAAGAAUGACAAAUGGAAGUCUUCAGCUUCUUGUUGGAGAUCCAUCAUCAUGCUCUGUUUCUCUUA
RNAcentral lists this unclassified non-coding RNA (1035 nucleotides) under Hevea brasiliensis (rubber tree). Lineage: Eukaryota; Viridiplantae; Streptophyta; Magnoliopsida; Malpighiales; Euphorbiaceae. The record is from RNAcentral.